RNAcentral lists this ribosomal RNA (408 nucleotides) under uncultured bacterium. Its description in RNAcentral is "partial 16S ribosomal RNA". It matches the Rfam family "Bacterial small subunit ribosomal RNA", at positions 29 to 526 of the family's 1533-position model. The record is from RNAcentral.
CGUGAACGCUGGCGGCGUGCCUAAUACAUGCAAGUCGAACGAAGUGGCGCACGGGUGAGUAAUAUAUAGUUAAUCUGCCCUACACAGAGGAACAACAGUUGGAACCGACUGCUAAUACCUCAUAGUGUAGGAUGAGACUAUAUCGUAUCAGCUAGUUGUUAAGGUAAUGGCGUACCAAGGCUAUGACGCGUAACUGGUCUGCGAGGAUGAUCAGUCAAAUUUGAACUGAGACACGGUCCAAACUCCUACGGGAGGCAGCAGUAAGGAAUAUUGCGGAAUGGGGGAAACCCUGAAGCAUCAACGCAGCGUGGAGGAUGAAAUUUUUCGGAGCGUAAACUCAUUGUAUCAGGAAAGCGGUACCUGAUGAAUAAGCACCGGCUAACUACGUGCCAGCAGCCGCGGUAAUAC